CUCAAGGGAAAUGAAAUUAAGCUGUUUCCCAGAUUUGCUUUUCAAAAUUAGUCCUGGGCCGGCCUUCAAUACUGCAAACACAUUCUGUGUGGCCACAAGGGAGGCCUGACUGCACUGAAUUCUUGGACCAACUACGAAGCUUUGGGGGCCUGACAAGCUGAGGAAAUGCAAGAAAAACGACACAGAUUUCUAAAAGUCUCAUCCUAUCAUGGCACCAGCAUCAGCUUAAAGUCUGAAAUUUCAUGAUUUAAAUCAGGUAUGGCUGCAGAGGUGUGGUUCCCUUUGCACAGAUACUCAGGGAUGAUUCCUCAAGUUCAAGUAAAGUAAAAUAAAGGUAGGAGGCCUAGAAGCAGUUGAUACCCACAUCUCUGCAUGUGCAAGCCUGGAUGUGUAUUUGGGACAAGAUGUUGUGGAGAAGAGUCAGCUGGCCUAUGUGAUCUGCUGGUACGCAGCCCAAGUCCAAGUGGCCACUCUAUACCUUGAGCACAAAGGAAGAAGAGAGAGUGAACUUCAGGCAGGAAGAAGCAAUAAUGUGUGCGAAGUGGGGGCAGAAGGAAGGGUCCUCCCACUCAACUGAAGAAGUCCUCUCCUUAGUGUCUUGCAAGACACCAACCAUGAUGUCAACCAGCCUGUGUUCUCAUCUGCAAGCUCGGUGGAAAAGAACCCACUUCCAAACUCAGAUUGUCAUCAGUUUUCACUGCCUUGUGGUUGUAAAACUUGAGGCCCUUGUUUCUCUUAUUGGCUGAUGUCUGCUGGCCCCACAGACCCUAGAGGUUAUCCACAGUUUCUAGAGUACAUCCACAGUUCCCACAUGGGCUUUACCAACAAGGCUACUUCACCAAGUCAGCAAAGAAAGUCUCUAGAGUGAAUCUACUAGCAAGAUGGAGUCUUCUAUAAUGUAAUGUAAUCACAGGACUGAUAUUGCAUCCCUUUGCCAUAUUCUAUUUGAUAUAAGCAAUCACAAGUUCCACCUAUACACUAGGGGAGGAGAAAGUAGGAAACACAGGGGGUCACCCUCGAGUCCAUCAGCCCCAAAUACCAAAAGCAAAGGGCCCCGUCCUUGUCUGAGUCUCUGUGGAAAUACUGUCUUGCAGAGUAUUGCCCUUACCCCCACACCCAGCAUGUAGUAGCCAUAUCACAGCAAAAACAUGAUUAGGCUGAGAGAGGCCUAAGCUGGUCUCCUGAAAUCUCCUUCCUAGACGGAAAGUAUUCAGAAGUUCCUGGAUGCUCUAGAGAAGGAACUGGAAAGUAAUGGACUUGCUGGAUAGUCAGUUUACCAGAGGGGUCAUCAAGGUAGAGCAAAAUGACCCAGCAGUCACGGGCAGUCCAGGCCAGUAAGCAUGUGGAAGUCAUAGCCAGACUUCAGAAGGCUACAUAGCAACAGCUGGGUCAAAAGAGAGGCCCACCAAGCCAUCACCAAACUGAGAGAAAAGAGCUCUCAAGUUUCUAGCAGUAGAUGCCAACUGGGCAAACACUAACAAUACAGGGAAGGGAUAAGAUCCGGCCAGGCCAGUGAGGACUCACAGAGUCCCCCAAGAGCCUACAUCAAGUUUCCUGGGACCACUCCUCAUUGCCAUGGCAACAGAAUAAACUCCCCCAACUGCCACCUUGAGGGGAAGGAUUCUGAAAGCCUGAGCAUUUACCUGAAAGAGAUGGUUUUAAACCAAAAGGAGACUGACAUAUUGUUAAUUGGCUCAUUUAAAGUUCACAUUUGUUUCCCUGCUACC
This is a long non-coding RNA of Canis lupus familiaris (dog), 1727 nucleotides long. RefSeq lists it as uncharacterized. The transcript is spliced from 5 exons. NCBI's taxonomy places the organism in Eukaryota, Metazoa, Chordata, Mammalia, Carnivora, Canidae. The record is from RefSeq and is a predicted model, not a curated record.